RNAcentral lists this ribosomal RNA (203 nucleotides) under uncultured bacterium. RNAcentral's name for it is "partial 16S ribosomal RNA". The record is from RNAcentral.
GACGAACGCUGGCGGCGUGCUUAACACAUGCAAGUCGAGCGGUAAGGCCCUUUCGGGGUACGACGAGCGGCGAACGGGUAGGAGUAACAACGUGGGUGGACCUCGCCCUCCAGCUCCUGGGAGUAAAGACCUCGGGAAACCGGGGUACCGUAAUAACUGGAGUAUGACUCCAUGACGCAUGUUGUGGGGUGGGAAAGACCUUG